Molecule: long non-coding RNA, 823 nt
Filed under: Helianthus annuus (common sunflower)
Lineage: Eukaryota; Viridiplantae; Streptophyta; Magnoliopsida; Asterales; Asteraceae
Description: hypothetical non coding rna
Source: RNAcentral
UUGCUACAUACAAAAGGCAGCCCAUGGUUUUGUCGAACGUAUCAUAAGUUUAUUUACAACAACUACUUCAGUUAAUUGAGAUGUACAAAACGUAGUGCAUUCUGAUGCAGUUGGUUGCGUUCUUUUAGCUGGGCUGGUAUUUGUUGGUGGCCUAUUCCGAGAACCUGAGUUUCUUGGUGUCGCUUACGCCUUCUGUGCAUUUUGAUGGCAGUCAUUAGUAAUGUUGUUUUUGUUAAAAGUGGCGUUAAGUUAAUACUUGGAAUAGGAUGGGAUACCUGAUUGAUAUAGUUGACGUUUAGCUGAAGGUCUGUUUUCAUUUGAUUCUAGGGCCAAUUUUUUGUCUGCAGUAGGUGUUGUUUGUUGGGUAGGUGAAGGUGGUGUUGCUGUGAUGUUUAGCUUGCUGUCGUAGACUUUGUUGACGGAGAGAACACUUGAGUUGGGAUUGGGAGUUGUUGAAUGGGCAUACUGAACCUGCAUUGUGACGUCUUUUCCAAUGGCCUCAUAUAGGGGUUCUGGUGUUUGAUAACGGUCUGUGUAUCCAUGCUUCAGGACCAUGUCUUUACAUUGUAUGCCGAUUAACCCAACAGUUGCCUCGUCAAAAAAUGUUGCCAUAGUAGGAGCUGUGUUGUCUGAGAUUGUUGCAGCCACGCAGUACCUACAGUUUUGGUGACUACCACAUGACCAACCUCUUUUUGUUUGGUAUAUUUUUCUUGGGCACUGUGGACACAUUGUGUAGUACCAUGGUCGACCUUUGAUGUAACUUGUCACUGAUGCUUGGCAACUGAAUGUUUGCCCCUGUAUAACAAAGUUAUCAGAUCAUAUC